UGAUCCUGCCAGUAGUGAUAUGCUUGUCUCAAAGAUUAAGCCAUGCAUGUGUAAGUGUAAGCUGAUUAAUGGUGGGACUGCGAAUGGCUCAUUAAAACAGUGAUAGUUUCUUUGAUGGAUCGUUUCGAUGGAUAACCGUAGUAAUUCUAGAGCUAAUACAUGCCAGUGUGUGUUAGAUAUCGCCCUUGUGGGAACAACGAUACACGCAUACCAUAUCGGGAGGUAUGGUGCAUCAUUCAAGUUUCUGCCCUAUCAGCUUUCGAUGGUAGUGUCUUGGACUACCAUGGCAGUGACGGGUAACGGAGAAUUAGGGUUCGAUUCCGGAGAGGGAGCCUGAGAAACGGCUACCAUGUCUAAGGACAGCAGCAGGCGCGCAAAUUGCCCAAUGCUAACACGAGCGAGGCAGCGACGAGAAGUAUUUACUUCGUUACACUUUGUUGUGACCUGGAUAGAAAUGGAUGGUAUGCAAAACCACCACUGAGGAUCGAUCGGAGGGCAAGUC
Molecule: ribosomal RNA, 502 nt
Filed under: uncultured eukaryote
Lineage: Eukaryota
Description: bacterial SSU rRNA
Rfam family: Eukaryotic small subunit ribosomal RNA
Source: RNAcentral